This 865-nucleotide ribosomal RNA is filed under the name uncultured bacterium. Its description in RNAcentral is "bacterial SSU rRNA". It matches the Rfam family "Bacterial small subunit ribosomal RNA", at positions 114 to 1008 of the family's 1533-position model. The record is from RNAcentral.
CGCGUGGCUUAUCUGUCCCAGGGAGGGGGAUAACGUCUGGAAACGGGCGCUAAUACCCCAUAUACCGGUGAGGUAAAAAGGAGAAAUCCGCCCUGGGGUGAGGCCGCGUCCUAUCAGCUAGUUGGUGAGGUAACGGCCCACCAAGGCUAUGACGGGUAGCCGGCCUGAGAGGGCGGCUGGCCACACUGGGAUUGAGAUACGGCCCAGACUCCUACGGGAGGCAGCAGUGGGGAAUAUUGGGCAAUGGGGGAAACCCUGACCCAGCGACGCCGCGUGGAGGAAGGAGCCCUUCGGGGUGUAAACUCCUGUUGUAAGGGAAGAAGACAGUGACGGUACCUUACGAGGAAGCCCCGGCAAACUACGUGCCAGCAGCCGCGGUAACACGUAGGGGGCGAGCGUUGUCCGGAAUUACUGGGCGUAAAGCGCACGCAGGCGGAUGCGCGCGUCGGCUGUGAAAUGCACCGGCUCAACCGGUGCACUGCGGUCGAUACGGCGCGUCUGGAGUGCGGGAGAGGGAAGCGGAAUUCCCGGUGUAGCGGUGAAAUGCGUAGAUAUCGGGAGGAACGCCGGUGGCGAAGGCGGCUUCCUGGCCCGCAACUGACGCUCAUGUGCGAAAGCCAGGGGAGCGAACCGGAUUAGAUACCCGGGUAGUCCUGGCCGUAAACGAUGGACGCUAGGUGUGGGUGGUUUAUCCGUCUGUGCCGAAGUUAACGCGUUAAGCGUCCCGCCUGGGGAGUACGAUCGCAAGGUUGAAACUCAAAGGAAUUGACGGGGGCCCGCACAAGCGGUGGAGCGCGUGGUUAAUUCGAUGCAAACCGAAGAACCUUACCUGGGUUUGACAUGCAGGUGGUACGAGCCCGAAAGG